This 727-nucleotide ribosomal RNA is filed under the name uncultured eukaryote. RNAcentral describes it as "SSU rRNA". It matches the Rfam family "Eukaryotic small subunit ribosomal RNA", at positions 557 to 1289 of the family's 1831-position model. The record is from RNAcentral.
UAGUCUGGUGCCAGCAGCCGCGGUAAUUCCAGCUCCAAUAGCGUAUAUUAAAGUUGUUGCAGUUAAAACGCUCGUAGUCGGAUUUCGGGGCAGGUUUGCCGGUCUGCCGAUGGGUAUGCACUGGUAGAAGUGUCCUUCCUUCCGGAGACGGCGCCUACUCUUAACUGAGCGGGUGUCGGAGACGGAUCGUUUACUUUGAAAAAAUCAGAGUGUUUCAAGCAGGCAGCUCGCUUUUGCAUGGAUUAGCAUGGGAUAAUGAAAUAGGACUUUGGUGCUAUUUUGUUGGUUUCGAACACCGAAGUAAUGAUUAACAGGGACAGUCAGGGGCACUCGUAUUCCGCCGAGAGAGGUGAAAUUCUUAGACCAGCGGAAGACGAACCACUGCGAAAGCAUUUGCCAGGGAUGUUUUCACUGAUCAAGAACGAAAGUUAGGGGAUCGAAGACGAUCAGAUACCGUCGUAGUCUUAACCAUAAACCAUGCCGACUAGGGAUUGGAGGAUGUUCCUAUGUGACUCCUUCAGCACCUUUCGGGAAACUAAAGUCUUUGGGUUCCGGGGGGAGUAUGGUCGCAAGGCUGAAACUUAAAGGAAUUGACGGAAGGGCACCACCAGGAGUGGAGCCUGCGGCUUAAUUUGACUCAACACGGGGAAACUUACCAGGUCCAGACAUUGUGAGGAUUGACAGAUUGAGAGCUCUUUCUUGAUUCGAUGGGUGGUGGUGCAUGGCC